This 719-nucleotide ribosomal RNA is filed under the name Chamaearionta aquaealbae. Its description in RNAcentral is "partial 16S ribosomal RNA". The stretch from base 282 to 430 matches the Rfam family "Archaeal large subunit ribosomal RNA", at positions 1889 to 2083 of the family's 2987-position model. The record is from RNAcentral. Lineage: Eukaryota; Metazoa; Mollusca; Gastropoda; Stylommatophora; Helminthoglyptidae.
UAGGGGUGAUAGGCUUGUCAAAACAUUUGAUAACUUGAUUGAGAAAAAAUAUUUUGAGAAUAAUAGACAAUUAAUUAAUGAUAAGGUUAAUUAAAAACACCAAUGUUGGUUAUAGUAUUUUACGUAAUUUAAUUAUUUGUAUUAAGAGAUAUACUUAACAUAUUUAAUAUAGAUACUGUGGUUUUUAUUUUCCAACGUUAGGUAAAUUUACUAUUAGCUUUUAAUAUGUUAUUAUUAGUAACCUUUAAAUUUUUACUGAGGAACUCGGCAACUAGUUUGGUCAGCUGUUUAACAAAAACAUAACCACACGUAGUAUAUAUGUGGCAACUUCUGCUCAAUGAUAACAAUUAAAUAGCCGCAGUACCCUGACUGUGCAAAGGUAGCAUAAUCAUUUGGCUCAUAAUUGGAGUCUGGCAUGAAUGAACUUAUGGCUAACAACUGUCUUUGUUAAAGUUUACUGAACUUACUUAGUGAGUGCAAAUACUCAUACUUAUAUUAAAGACGAGAAGACCCUAGAAAUUUUGAUUAAAUAUUUUCUUAAACCAUUUUUGUUGGGGCGACAUAAUAACACAAUAAACUUAUUACUUAUAUAAGAACUUUAUUUUGCGUAAAACUAAAUUACUCUAGGGAUAACAGCAUAAUUUUCAAGAGUUUGUGACCUCGAUGUUGGAUUAGGGAUAGUAUUAUUCAAAAGAGAAUACGAAUUGUUCUGUUCGAAC